AUGCAGGUAGCCAUCUUGUACCGUCGCUGGUCAUUCAGAGAGGUUUCCUUUCGGCUCCCGUCACCAUCCCAGGAGUUUCAGAGGACAGAGAUGUUUGGCCUUCGUUGUCAAAAAGCUUCGCCCACCCCGUCACUCUCCAACAGGAGAGAGAGGGUGGCCAAACUACCCUGUGAGAGAAAAGACCAGGAGAGGACAGGUGAUGGCCCCUGCCAGGAAAAGACAGAAAAAUGGCCUCAGCCACUUCCGGAGAUGAAGACUCGUGAGGACCAGCUAACGAUUUCUCCGGGAAAGGGGGCUUUUUCACCUACUCUUAUCGGCCACCCCUUGUGAGUUGUGU
Pogona vitticeps (central bearded dragon) is the source of this 337-nucleotide long non-coding RNA. The record is from Ensembl. NCBI's taxonomy places the organism in Eukaryota, Metazoa, Chordata, Lepidosauria, Squamata, Agamidae.